Long non-coding RNA from Leopardus geoffroyi (Geoffroy's cat), 1840 nucleotides. RefSeq lists it as uncharacterized. Lineage: Eukaryota; Metazoa; Chordata; Mammalia; Carnivora; Felidae. The record is from RefSeq and is a predicted model, not a curated record. The transcript is spliced from 2 exons.
GCCCAACGCGGGGCUUGAACUCACAAACCGUGAGAUCAUGACCUGAGCUGAAGUCAGAUGCUUAACCGAAUGAGCUACCUAGGCACCCCUCAAAAAUCAAUGUUCUUUUAACAUCUCACUACCCCAUUUGAUGGUAAGGAUUUUAUCAUGCUUUUAAUUUUGUAUUUCUUACAGAACCUUGGACAGUACUGGACUUGUAAGAGAUGCUGUACCUGUAUGUACCAAUUGCCUGCUUUGGUACUAUAGGCUUAUAUUUUUCCCAUUGCUGUAUCUGGAUCAGCAAGAGGCAAAAAAGGAAACCUGGACCCUCCUUCUCCUCACAGACAUGCUGAUUCAACAACAUGGACCAAUUUCUUUUGUUAGAAAUCCAGAAACCUGUUGAAAGGCUCUUGCCACUGAGAUGAUAGGGACAAAAGCCAAAAUGAAUAAAAUGACACCUUGCUCAUAAUCUCUUCCCCCUACUCCGUGCCACACAAUCAUGAGAAAAACCAGAACUCCCAGCUUCUCCCUAAGAAGGGAAGGAGAGGACUGGACCAUAUGUCCAAAGUUCAGACUAUUUAGGGGGCUGCCCAAGGUACCAAUUACUGUACUGAGUACGAGCACUGAUUGGAAAAGGGCCCAGGUCUGGGAACCCUGAGAAUAUAGUCCGCGGUUUGAACUAGCACGCUCUAUUAGCCAAAGUGCUUCCCCUGGUUCAGCACUGAGCAAGCGAGAACACCCAAAUCCUUCCUUCUCCCUGGGAAGGGAAAGAGUCGAAGCAUGCAAGAGGGAAAGAGAAAAAUAAAACAUAUAUCUAACAUUCAGACUUUUCAGGGAGCUCCCCAAGGGACUGGUUUUUGUCUUGCCUGUCUCUAAGUACUGACAGGAUAUAGUACACUCUGGAUGCCUGGGGACCAGCAUAUGCUGCUUCUUCACAGGAACUACAAGAUAACAGACACCAGAGGGAGCAAGACAUCAUAAACUCCUGAAAAAAUAAACCAACAAAUUCUUAUAAUUAUGAAUUUACAUGGACAAGUUUGGAGAAAAGACACAUCCACCAAAAACUUUUGAGAGGCCCACCAGAAUCUCUAGCUAGGGUAAUUGGUGAAGGUCUUCCCAUAUAUGAAGCCAGUCCAUAGAAACUAAGAAAAAGCACUGUUUUUUCAAAUAUGCAGAUACCCACACUGUUGAGGGCAUUAAACACACACACACACACAUACACAGGAAACAAAAGAAAACACCAAAAGAAAAAGGGGUUUCAUUACCUAAUAAAGAAUUCAAAUUAUGAUCAUAAAGAUAAUUAGUAAGUUCCGGAAAACUAUUUAUGAAUAAGUCAGAAAUUUCCAAAUAAAGAUAGAAAAAAAUACAGAAAUUUUGGAGCUGAAAAAUAAAAUAGCCAGACUGAAUAAUUCACUAGAAAAGUGUAAUAAUAGACUUUAUCAACUAGAAGAGAGAGUCAGCAAACUCGAAGACAGGAAGAACAUUUGAAAUUAUCCUAUCACAGAAGCAAAAACAAAAAAAGAAUGAAAAGGUGUGAAGAAAGCCUAAGGGACUUCUGUGUCUUCAUCAAAUUAAUCAAUACAUGCACUAUAGGAGUCCUAAGAGGGAAAGAGAGAGACAGAAAGGACAAGAGAGCUUAUUGAGAAAAAUAAUGACCAAUGCCUUUUCUCUAUUAAGAUGGUCGAUCAUGUGUUGUAUUUCUUUCAUUUUGUUAAUGUGUUGUAUAACAUCAAUUAAUUUGCAUACAUUGAAACACCUUUGUUCGAAGGAGUAAGUUCCACUCAGACAUGGUGUAUAAUCCUUUUAAUGUGCUGAUGAAUUCAAUUUACUACCAUUUUAUUAAAGACUUUUUCAUUUAUAU